RNAcentral lists this ribosomal RNA (833 nucleotides) under uncultured bacterium. RNAcentral describes it as "bacterial SSU rRNA". It matches the Rfam family "Bacterial small subunit ribosomal RNA", at positions 629 to 1465 of the family's 1533-position model. The record is from RNAcentral.
AAAACUGAAUACCUAGAGUAUGGGAGAGGUAGAUGGAAUUUCUGGUGUAGGGGUAAAAUCCGUAGAGAUCAGAAGGAAUACCGAUUGCGAAGGCGAUCUACUGGAACAUUACUGACGCUAAGAUGCGAAAGCGUGGGGAGCAAACAGGAUUAGAUACCCUGGUAGUCCACGCCCUAAACGAUGUACACUAGUUGUUGCUAUGCUAGACAUAGCAGUAAUGCAGUUAACACAUUAAGUGUACCGCCUGGGGAGUACGGUCGCAAGAUUAAAACUCAAAGGAAUAGACGGGGACCCGCACAAGCGGUGGAGCAUGUGGUUUAAUUCGACGAUACGCGAAGAACCUUACCUGGCCUUGACAUAGACAGAAUUUAGUAGAGAUAUAAAAGUGCCAGUUUACUGGAGCUGUUAUACAGGUGCUGCACGGCUGUCGUCAGCUCGUGUCGUGAGAUGUUGGGUUAAGUCCCGCAACGAGCGCAACCCACGUGUCUAGUUACUAACAGUUCGGCUGAGGACUCUAGACAGACUGCCUUCGUAAGGAGGAGGAAGGUGUGGACGACGUCAAGUCAUCAUGGCCCUUACGGCCAGGGCUACACACGUGCUACAAUGGGGUAUACAGAGAGCCGCAAUACCGCGAGGUGGAGCAAAUCUUUAAAAUAUCUCCCAGUUCGGAUAGCACUCUGCAACUCGAGUGCUUGAAGUUGGAAUCGCUAGUAAUCGUGAAUCAGCAAUGUCACGGUGAAUACGUUCCCGGGUCUUGUACUCACCGCCCGUCACACCAUGGGAGUUGAAUUCAUUCGAAGCGGGGAUGCUAAAAUAGCUACCUUCCACAGUGG